AUGAAGCAGAGUUCGAACGUGCCGGCUUUCCUCAGCAAGCUAUGGACGCUUGUGGAGGAAACCCACACCAACGAGUUCAUCACCUGGAGCCAGAAUGGCCAGAGUUUUCUGGUUUUGGAUGAACAAAGAUUUGCAAAAGAAAUUCUUCCCAAAUAUUUCAAGCACAAUAAUAUGGCAAGCUUUGUGAGGCAAUUGAAUAUGUAUGGUUUCCAUAAGGUUGUGCAUAUUGACUCUGGAAUUGUAAAGCAGGAAUGAGAUGGUCCUGUUGAAUUUCAGCAUCCUUACUUCAAACAAGGCCAGGAUGACUUGUUGGAGAACAUUAAAAGGAAGGUUUCAUCUUCAAAACCAGAAGAAAAUAAGAUUCGUCAGGAUGAUUUAUCAAAAAUUAUAAGUAGUGCUCAGAAGGUUCAAAUAAAACAAGAAACUAUUGAGUCCAGGCUUUCUGAAUUAAAAAGUGAGAAUGAGUCUCUAUGGAAGGAGGUGUCAGAAUUAAGAGCAAAACACGCACAACAGCAACAAGUUAUUCGAAAGAUUGUCCAGUUUAUUGUUACAUUGGUUCAGAAUAACCAACUUGUGAGUUUAAAACGUAAAAGGCCUCUACUUCUAAACACUAAUGGAGCCCAAAAGAAGAAUCUGUUUCAGCAUAUAGUCAAAGAACCAGCUGAUAAUCACCAUCAUAAAGUUCCACACAGUAGGACUGAAGGUUUAAAGGCAAGGGAGCGGAUUUCAGAUGACAUCAUCAUUUAUGAUGUAACUGAUGAUAACACAGAUGAAGAAAAUAUCCCAAUUAUUCCAGAAACUAAUAAGGAUGUUAUAUCUGAUCCCUCCAACUGUAGCCAAUACCCUGAUAUUGUCAUUCUUGGAGAUGACAAUGAAGAUGAGUAUGCACCUGUCAUUCAGAGUGGAGAUCAGAAUGAACCAGCCAGAGAAUCCCUAAGUUCAUGGCACCAGUCCUCUUAUGUCUAGUGCUGUCCAGCUAAAUGGCUCAUCUAGUCUGACCACAGAAGAUCCUGUGACCAUGAUGGGUUCCAUUUUAAAUGAUAACAUCAAUCUUCUGGGAAAGGUUGAGCUGUUGGAUUAUCUUGACAGUAUUGAUUGCAGCUUAGAGGACUUCCAAGCCAUGCUGUCAGGAAGACAGUUUAGCAUAGACCCAGAUCUCCUGAUUGAUUCUGAGAAUAAAGGAUUAGAAACUACCAAGAACAAUGUAGUUCAGCUAGUUUCAGAAGAGGGAAGAAAAUCUAAACCCAAAACAGAUAAGCAGCUUAUUCAGUACACUGCCUUUCCACUUCUUGCAUUCCUCGAUGGGAACCCUGCUUCUACUGUUGAACAGGGGAGUACAGCAUCAUCAGAAGUUAUGUCCUCUGUAGAAAAACCCAUAGAAGUUGAUGAGCUUCUGGAUAGCAGCCUAGAUCCAGAGCCAACCCAGAGUAAGCUUGUUCGCCUGGAGCCAUUGACUGAAGCCGAAGCUUGCGAAGCCACACUGUUUUAUUUAUGUGAACUUGCUCCUGCACCUCUGGAUAGUGAUAUGCCACUUUUAGACAGCUAAAUCCCCAGGAAGUGGACUCUACAUGUAUAUAUUCAUCAAAAUGAUGAACUAUUUAUUUUAAAGUAUCAUUUGGUACUUUUUUUUGUAAAUUGCUUUGUUUUGUUUAAUCAGAUACUGUGGAAUCAAAAGCACCUUUUGCUUUUCUCACUUACACACUCUUGCAAAGCUUUCAGAUGUUACUCAGCUACGUAGGUACACAAAAUUUAAUGCACAUUGUUGGCAUUAUCUUUAAGUUGGAUUCAAAUGGCCAUUUUUCUCCACUUGUAGUGGAGAUUUAACAAAAUUU
This is a non-coding RNA of Callorhinus ursinus (northern fur seal), 1832 nucleotides long. The record is from RefSeq and is a predicted model, not a curated record. Lineage: Eukaryota; Metazoa; Chordata; Mammalia; Carnivora; Otariidae.